This 262-nucleotide ribosomal RNA is filed under the name uncultured archaeon. RNAcentral describes it as "partial 16S ribosomal RNA". It matches the Rfam family "Archaeal small subunit ribosomal RNA", at positions 748 to 1008 of the family's 1478-position model. The record is from RNAcentral.
AGGGUGUAAACGCUGCAGACUUGGUGUUGGAAGUCUUUUGGGGGCAUUCAGUGCCGGAGAGAAGUUGUUAAGUCUGCUACUUGGGGAGUACGUCCGCAAGGAUGAAACUUAAAGGAAUUGGCGGGGGGAGCACCGCAACGGGAGGAGCGUGCGGUUUAAUUGGAUUCAACACCGUAAAACUCACCAGGGAAGACUGUUACAUGAAAGCCGAGAUGAAGACUCUGCUAGAUUUUCAGAGAGGUGGUGCAUGGCGUCAGUGACU